Long non-coding RNA from Pungitius pungitius (ninespine stickleback), 626 nucleotides. RefSeq lists it as uncharacterized. NCBI's taxonomy places the organism in Eukaryota, Metazoa, Chordata, Actinopteri, Perciformes, Gasterosteidae. The transcript is spliced from 6 exons. The record is from RefSeq and is a predicted model, not a curated record.
CUCUGGCGAGGAGGACGCACGACUAGGUGACAGCCACGGUGAGGCUGCCGUCAUUCAGCCGCACUUUGAUUUCUGGGCUAGCUCGUUAGAUUGUGCAGGUUUGACAUUUGCGCUACAACGUGCGGCACUUAUGAGGCUAACGGACGUUAGCUUGUGUCGCUAACCCGAGUCACUUCAUGCAGGCCGGCAAUAACGUCAUCAUGUAACGGGGCCACGACGACGGCAGGGCCGAUGCAUUCGUACAAUUCCAUACGGAUUGCAUCAACGCACUCAAUUGUCAGGGUAAAUCCGAAGCAGGAUCUCACCCAGAGACCCCCGACGCUGCACAUCCUGCAGGAAUUGGGGAACGUGGAAGGUGAAGAGGCAGAACAUGACCGUUGCGUCACGUGCAGGUGACCCUGAUGGCUGAAGGAGAACUUUGAAUGACAAGGCAUCAAGUUGAGCUCUUUAACGUUGGCCCAAAGGCUACGACACCUCGCAGGUGUGCCAGAGACUCGUUUCGAGCCCAGAUUACGGUGGUCUGCAUCCACCUGUGAAAGGACUACGAGGAAGCUGCAUCAGUCAGUUUAGACUGACUUGACUGCAGGAACAACCAAGCAUGAUGGUGUGGGACAAACUCUUGGUUU